This 91-nucleotide ribosomal RNA is filed under the name Salmonella enterica subsp. enterica serovar Newport. RNAcentral describes it as "partial 16S ribosomal RNA". It matches the Rfam family "Bacterial small subunit ribosomal RNA", at positions 1 to 85 of the family's 1533-position model. Lineage: Bacteria; Pseudomonadati; Pseudomonadota; Gammaproteobacteria; Enterobacterales; Enterobacteriaceae. The record is from RNAcentral.
UUAAAUUGAAGAGUUUGAUCAUGGCUCAGAUUGAACGCUGGCGGCAGGCCUAACACAUGCAAGUCGAACGGUAACAGGAAGCAGCUGGCUG